This 552-nucleotide ribosomal RNA is filed under the name Microhyla mantheyi. RNAcentral's name for it is "partial 16S ribosomal RNA". It matches the Rfam family "Bacterial large subunit ribosomal RNA", at positions 1831 to 2597 of the family's 2925-position model. Lineage: Eukaryota; Metazoa; Chordata; Amphibia; Anura; Microhylidae. The record is from RNAcentral.
CGCCUCUUGUUACCCAUAAGAGGUCCAGCCUGCCCAGUGACAAAGUUAAACGGCCGCGGUACCCUAACCGUGCAAAGGUAGCGCAAUCACUUGUUCUUUAAAUGAGGACUAGUAUGAAUGGCAUCACGAGGGUUAUGCUGUCUCCCCAAUUUACUCAGUGAAACUGAUCUCCCCGUGAAGAAGCGGGGAUAAGAAUAUAAGACGAGAAGACCCCAUGGAGCUUUAAACUCAGUAACAAUUGCACCACAAAAUAGCCUAAUAUUUAUGCAACCCUGUCUACUAGUUUUCGGUUGGGGUGACCACGGAGUAUAAACAAACCUCCACGAUGAAAGGAAUUAACAACCUAAACCAAGAGCUACAGCUCUAAAUAUCAACAAAUUGACUAAAUUGAUCCAAUCACUUGAUCAACGAACCAAGUUACCCUGGGGAUAACAGCGCAAUCCAUUUCAAGAGCUCAUAUCGACAAAUGGGUUUACGACCUCGAUGUUGGAUCAGGGUAUCCAAGUGGCGCAGCCGCUACUAACGGUUCGUUUGUUCAACGAUUAAAACCCU